UACAGAGGUCUCAAGCGUUGUUCGGAUUUAUUGGGCGUAAAGAGCGUGUAGGCGGCCAGGUAGGUCCGUUGUGAAAACUCGAGGCUCAACCUCGAGACGUCGGCGGAAACCCUCUGGCUAGAGUCCGGAAGAGGAGAGUGGAAUUCCUGGUGUAGCGGUGAAAUGCGCAGAUAUCAGGAAGAACACCCGUGGCGAAGGCGGCUCUCUGGGACGGUACUGACGCUGAGACGCGAAUGCGUGGGGAGCGAACCGG
RNAcentral lists this ribosomal RNA (253 nucleotides) under uncultured bacterium. RNAcentral's name for it is "partial 16S ribosomal RNA". It matches the Rfam family "Bacterial small subunit ribosomal RNA", at positions 524 to 776 of the family's 1533-position model. The record is from RNAcentral.